UAAGGGGUUGGCAUACGUAAGGGUCUAGCUGCCAUGUUGGAGGUCUUGACAGGGAAUUUCUUUCCUCCAAUCCCUUCCAAUCAGGGAUUUGCCAGAAAAACUAUAAUUGUUCCCCGUGGCUUGGACUCUCUCCCUCCCUUAUCAUGGAACAACUGAAUAAAGCAGAGCCUUUAAGAUUGUUGAUAAACUAUUUAUUCUUCUAUUUGUCACAAUUUCGCUAAAUUAGAACGAUGUAAACUUCUUUUGGUAAGCGCUAAAGCUAACUUUGUGCGCAUGUUUAGACAUCAGGAACUGGAUAAGAAACAUUGAGCAGCAUGCUUCCGACAAUGUCAACAAAAUUCUGGUCGGCAACAAGGCUGACAUGGACGAAAGCAAAAGGGUUCUCUCUCUCUCUCUCUCUCUCUCUCUCUGAUCUAUGUAUGUUGUUGUAUAUAUGCUAUUUAUUGCUGCUAUGUGACUGAGUUCAUGUAAACCUUUUCUGCAGGCUCAAUCAUCGUCUGAUCUAUGUAUGUUGUUGUAUACAUGCUAUUUAUAGCUGCUAUGUGACUGAGCUCAUGUAAACCUUUUCUGCAGGCUGUUCCUACAUCAAAAGGUCAAGCACUAGCUGACGAAUAUGGCAUU
This 621-nucleotide long non-coding RNA is filed under the name Nicotiana benthamiana. Its description in RNAcentral is "long non-coding RNA (NBEN_LNC023132)". Lineage: Eukaryota; Viridiplantae; Streptophyta; Magnoliopsida; Solanales; Solanaceae. The record is from RNAcentral.